This 1554-nucleotide ribosomal RNA is filed under the name Salmonella enterica. RNAcentral's name for it is "bacterial SSU rRNA". It matches the Rfam family "Bacterial small subunit ribosomal RNA". The record is from RNAcentral. Lineage: Bacteria; Pseudomonadati; Pseudomonadota; Gammaproteobacteria; Enterobacterales; Enterobacteriaceae.
AAAUUGAAGAGUUUGAUCAUGGCUCAGAUUGAACGCUGGCGGCAGGCCUAACACAUGCAAGUCGAACGGUAACAGGAAGCAGCUUGCUGCUUCGCUGACGAGUGGCGGACGGGUGAGUAAUGUCUGGGAAACUGCCUGAUGGAGGGGGAUAACUACUGGAAACGGUGGCUAAUACCGCAUAACGUCGCAAGACCAAAGAGGGGGACCUUCGGGCCUCUUGCCAUCAGAUGUGCCCAGAUGGGAUUAGCUAGUUGGUGAGGUAACGGCUCACCAAGGCGACGAUCCCUAGCUGGUCUGAGAGGAUGACCAGCCACACUGGAACUGAGACACGGUCCAGACUCCUACGGGAGGCAGCAGUGGGGAAUAUUGCACAAUGGGCGCAAGCCUGAUGCAGCCAUGCCGCGUGUAUGAAGAAGGCCUUCGGGUUGUAAAGUACUUUCAGCGGGGAGGAAGGUGUUGUGGUUAAUAACCGCAGCAAUUGACGUUACCCGCAGAAGAAGCACCGGCUAACUCCGUGCCAGCAGCCGCGGUAAUACGGAGGGUGCAAGCGUUAAUCGGAAUUACUGGGCGUAAAGCGCACGCAGGCGGUCUGUCAAGUCGGAUGUGAAAUCCCCGGGCUCAACCUGGGAACUGCAUUCGAAACUGGCAGGCUUGAGUCUUGUAGAGGGGGGUAGAAUUCCAGGUGUAGCGGUGAAAUGCGUAGAGAUCUGGAGGAAUACCGGUGGCGAAGGCGGCCCCCUGGACAAAGACUGACGCUCAGGUGCGAAAGCGUGGGGAGCAAACAGGAUUAGAUACCCUGGUAGUCCACGCCGUAAACGAUGUCUACUUGGAGGUUGUGCCCUUGAGGCGUGGCUUCCGGAGCUAACGCGUUAAGUAGACCGCCUGGGGAGUACGGCCGCAAGGUUAAAACUCAAAUGAAUUGACGGGGGCCCGCACAAGCGGUGGAGCAUGUGGUUUAAUUCGAUGCAACGCGAAGAACCUUACCUGGUCUUGACAUCCACAGAAGAAUCCAGAGAUGGAUUGGUGCCUUCGGGAACUGUGAGACAGGUGCUGCAUGGCUGUCGUCAGCUCGUGUUGUGAAAUGUUGGGUUAAGUCCCGCAACGAGCGCAACCCUUAUCCUUUGUUGCCAGCGGUUAGGCCGGGAACUCAAAGGAGACUGCCAGUGAUAAACUGGAGGAAGGUGGGGAUGACGUCAAGUCAUCAUGGCCCUUACGACCAGGGCUACACACGUGCUACAAUGGCGCAUACAAAGAGAAGCGACCUCGCGAGAGCAAGCGGACCUCAUAAAGUGCGUCGUAGUCCGGAUUGGAGUCUGCAACUCGACUCCAUGAAGUCGGAAUCGCUAGUAAUCGUGGAUCAGAAUGCCACGGUGAAUACGUUCCCGGGCCUUGUACACACCGCCCGUCACACCAUGGGAGUGGGUUGCAAAAGAAGUAGGUAGCUUAACCUUCGGGAGGGCGCUUACCACUUUGUGAUUCAUGACUGGGGUGAAGUCGUAACAAGGUAACCGUAGGGGAACCUGCGGUUGGAUCACCUCCUUACCUUAAAGAAGC